UCACUGAUCUGAUCUGCUUCAACUUGCUGCUGAAGAUUGAUGGGGCUUGGGGCCCACAGCCCCUAUUACGGUGUCCUUCUCAGAGCCCCAACUCCCACUGGAGGUCUCAGUCUAAUGUGUGAGCAUUCACCAGUGAUAAAGUUGUCCUGGCUGAAACACCUGGCACCAGCUCCUGCAUGGGCAUCAACUGUCAUCCCAUCA
This 201-nucleotide long non-coding RNA is filed under the name Cavia porcellus (domestic guinea pig). RNAcentral's name for it is "lncRNA (ENSCPOG00000030876.1)". Lineage: Eukaryota; Metazoa; Chordata; Mammalia; Rodentia; Caviidae. The record is from RNAcentral.